Molecule: ribosomal RNA, 618 nt
Filed under: uncultured bacterium
Lineage: Bacteria
Description: bacterial SSU rRNA
Rfam family: Bacterial small subunit ribosomal RNA
Source: RNAcentral
AAGAGCAGUGGCAAACGGGUGCGUAACGCGUAAACAACCUGCCCACGACUGGGGGAUAGCCUUGCGAAAGCGGGGGUAAACCCCCAUGGUCCCUUUACUUCACCUGGGGUGAAGGGUAAACAUUGAUGGGUCGUGGAGGGGUUUGCGUCUGAUUAGCUAGUUGGCGGGGUAAGGGCCCACCAAGGCGAUGAUCAGUAGGGGUUCUGAGAGGAUUGGCCCCCACAUGGGUACUGAGAGACGGACCCAACUCCUACGGGAGGCAGCAGUAGGGAAUAUUGGGCAAUGGAGGCAACUCUGGUCCCAGCCAUGCCGCGUGCAGGAUGAAGGCGCUCAGCGUUGUAAACUGCUUUUAUCUGGGAAGAACGUGCAGGGUGCGCCCUGCAGUGACGGUACCAGAGGAAUAAGCACCGGCUAACUCCGUGCCAGCAGCCGCGGUAAUACGGAGGGUGCAAGCGUUGUCCGGAUUUAUUGGGUUUAAAGGGUGCGUAGGUGGUUUCUCAAGUCUGGUUUGAAAGCAGGCGGCUCAACCGUCUGAUGUGGCUGGAAACUGGGGAACUUGAAUGGGUUGGCGGUAGCCGGAACGGGUCACGUAGCGGUGAAAUGCAUAAAUAUGACCCA